This 433-nucleotide ribosomal RNA is filed under the name uncultured bacterium. Its description in RNAcentral is "partial 16S ribosomal RNA". It matches the Rfam family "Bacterial small subunit ribosomal RNA", at positions 29 to 507 of the family's 1533-position model. The record is from RNAcentral.
AGCGAACGCUGGCGGCAGGCCUAACACAUGCAAGUCGAACGAACUCUUCGGAGUUAGUGGCGGACGGGUGAGUAACACGUGGGAACGUGCCUUUUGGUUCGGAAUAACUCAGGGAAACUUGUGCUAAUACCGAAUGUGCCCUUCGGGGGAAAGAUUUAUCGCCAUUAGAGCGGCCCGCGUCUGAUUAGCUAGUUGGUGAGGUAACGGCUCACCAAGGCGACGAUCAGUGGCUGGUCUGAGAGGAUGACCAGCCACACUGGGACUGAGACACGGCCCAGACUCCUACGGGAGGCAGCAGUGGGGAAUCUUGCGCAAUGGGCGAAAGCCUGACGCAGCCAUGCCGCGUGAAUGAUGAAGGUCUUAGGAUUGUAAAAUUCUUUCACCGGGGACGAUAAUGACGGUACCCGGAGAAGAAGCCCCGGCUAACUUCGUG